CAUCUCCACUCCUCCUCUCAUCAUUUUCUUCUUUUUUAUGCUCAAAAGUUGGGUACUCUCUCUUCCACAUGCCUAGAAGAAGUUCUGGUGACUUAGAGAUCAAGGAUCGAGGAGAAGAAGAUGAAGGCUGCAGAUCAAGAAGUUGAUCUCGCAGUUAAGAUCAAAGAAGUUGAUCAAAGUCUUCAAGAUCAAGAUUCUUCUUGAGAAGAAGAAUUUAAUACGA
Molecule: long non-coding RNA, 223 nt
Filed under: Elaeis guineensis (African oil palm)
Lineage: Eukaryota; Viridiplantae; Streptophyta; Magnoliopsida; Arecales; Arecaceae
Description: long non-coding RNA (EGUI_LNC055194)
Source: RNAcentral